AAAAUCAGAAUGAAAAGAAAUAGAAUGGAGAGAGAGAGAGAGAGAAAGAGAGAGAGAGAGAACAAGAAAAGAAGAAGAAAGUGGAAAAGAGGGGAAAUUUCAUGCUCUAUUAAAUCUUGAAGAUUCUUUCAUCAUCAUCAUCUUCAUCCCAAUCUGAAUUUCCAUGUUUUAAUUGAGGCGGGGUUCCAUAGUUAGAUGGGUACAAAACUCUAUUUUUGGGAAUUUGCAUGUUAGAAGAAAAUUGGGGGUUUUAGAGUGUUCUUGAUUUUCUGAAAUGUAUAUCUGUUGCUUCAAAUCCUUACUAUUCGCUUUUGUUUGAUGGGUUAUUGUUGAAGUUUGUUGUGUUAUAACAUGUGGUAUUGCUUUUUUUCUAAGUGAUAGUUUUAGGAUUGGUUUUUUUUUAUUGUUUGUGGUAUGUUUCAGGUGUUUUAUGCAGAAAAUGCGUUAUGGACGCCGUGACGGUCUAACCGUCACGUCCCAAUCCAGAUGACGAUCGUUAUCAAGUGAAGACAGGUUACUCGUCAAGACCCAAAGCCCAAUGAAGAGCACUAUGAUGGGUGAUGACCAUCACCGUAACAAACAUGUCACUACUUUCUGGGCGUCUUGUGGUAACGACCAUCAUGGCCACGACUGCCAGACCGUCACCAGGCCCAAAAUGUUGUUUUAACCUUGUUUGGUGAUUUUGGGAAGGCUCCGUCCUUCUAGUGAUUUUAUAUGAUAUGCUAAGAGUCA
Molecule: long non-coding RNA, 732 nt
Filed under: Lathyrus oleraceus (garden pea)
Lineage: Eukaryota; Viridiplantae; Streptophyta; Magnoliopsida; Fabales; Fabaceae
Description: Pisum sativum (pea) long non-coding RNA (PSAT_LNC034599)
Source: RNAcentral